ACAGCACACUGUUAAAGCUUGGAGCUGAGGCUGUCCAGCCAGUGAACUCUCAAGUGUCGGAAGUGUGCUAAAAUAACAUGGCAGGUCUUUCGCUAACACCGUCAGAGCAUCACGCUCAAUGAUCGGGGUUUGAUAGUAGUCUCUGCCACAAUG
Xenopus tropicalis (tropical clawed frog) is the source of this 153-nucleotide small nucleolar RNA. NCBI's taxonomy places the organism in Eukaryota, Metazoa, Chordata, Amphibia, Anura, Pipidae. The record is from Ensembl.